AUGGCACCAAGGGCAAGAGGAAGAAAUUCCCUCCAGCAAACUUUCAGAUAAACUUUGAUUUGUGUAUUGUUUACAUAAGAAUUUUAAAGGGUACAUAAUGUGUAGAGUGUGGAUAGAACUUCUCUUCAUACUAUGGUUUUUUUUGUAAAAGACUGAUUAUUGUUAUGGAUUCAUUCUGUCUCAUCUAUUUUUAUAAUAGCAGCAGGGUUGUCUUUUAAAAAAAAAAAAAAAACGGCUGCCAAGCUCUGCUUCUUGGGAAGGUGAUUACAGUCAAGUAGGCCUCAAGUUACCGUCUUCGACCAUGAGGUGGGAGGAGUGUGUGGAUGGGUUUGAAGGAUAAGGAUGUGGCUGAGAUGAACAGAGUACUAGGUGUGGACACCAGGAUGAUGGCGCUGUGUGAUCAGUUCUGGAUUUGCUCGUAGGCUAUCUAGAGAUGAUAAACUCUGCAACCUCUUUCUGGGCUGGAUUUGCAUCCCACGCAAGACCUGUUUUUUGCUUCCCACCCUCCCCACAGGCUCCAUCCUACCAGCCCCGGUCUCCCUCCACAGACACACACGUGGAUAACAGUCCCUCUAGAGAAGGAAAGACAGGGGUUGAUGGUUUUCUUUUGCAUGAAGCCUGACACUGAAACAUCUGUGAUGGAGACUUUGCAGGAGCCUAGGCCUGGGAGUCUUAUCUCUUCUCACUCCAUCUCUGCCAAAGGAGAAUGGCCCAGCAGUAGUGUCACAGAGAGAAUGCAGAGAUGCAAUAGGUCCCCGUGGUCCAGCUCCACCAUGGGAGGAAGAGGGGACAAUGGAAACAGAAGCAGGAAAGGUUAAGUUCCUGAGAGAAGUGGUUGCUCUCUCUAUGCAUGUGAGUCAGAGAUUUGCUGUGUUGUGGGAUGGUUUAUCCAACCACGCACAGAAAAGAGAAAACCCUCACACGUACAUUACACAGUUCGAGAUUAACUGUAACACCGUGUGGGAAUAGAUCUAUUUCUUAAGGGCAACAAAGAAUAGUUCAGAAUUUAAUGCAAUGGAGGAUAUCAGAGGGAAUCCAAAAGAAAUUAUGUGCCACACUGGAGAAUUAGCUGCGUAAAUGUGACAGUAUGAGUGAGUAGCCGGAGGCAUGAUCUAGAACAUAAUAUAAGGCCUGUCUAGUAAAUGGGUAAGACAGAUUCCUCUUUAAAAAAAAAAAAAAAAGUGACAUUUAAAACCAGACCAUGCAAAUGACCUUGCCUAUGGUUAUUUUUUUUUUCAAGUUAAUGAAGUGCACACAGAUUCUAAAGGCCUUAAUAAAAAUCCACACAACUGUGUUUGCCUGUCAAGAUUACAGGUGGACAACCGAGCCGAGCCUUGGAUGCUACAACAGAGAUUUCGAAGUCCUUUUACAGUGCAGGGCCAAGGACACCUUAAGAAGGUUGAGCUUUUAGUGAUCAUGGACGACUUGGAUCAUCACCCCAAUCAGCACUUUAUAACAACACCAGAAACAAAAGAUGCAGGACACUCCUUGGGUGACCCAGUCUUGAAGAUGCAAAUUCACGUGCAGAAAGAGGCAGCAUGUUUAAUUUUUAUAUGUAGAUAGAUAGACUUUUUUUUUUUAACCAAGUGCCAUUAACAUUCAUCCCUCGUGUCCCUUUCCAAGCUCAGUGUUGGGGAAGGAGCUGGGAUGGAGGAUCCCAUGUCAGGCAGAACAGGUUAAAAUGUCGAAGGCCAAAGGGAAGGCCAGAGGGUCUGAGGAAGUGUUUGGAGGAUGCUGGAAAGGUUAACAGAGAGGAACAAUAGGACUCCUCAUCCUGUAGGAAAGAGAAGGUGUUUAAGUCCGCUACACGCAACGCACGUACCCAUAAGGUCAUGGGAUAUUCAGAAACCAGUUUGUGAACACAAUCACACGAGUGCGAAUCUUUUAAGAGGAAGAAGACCAUAGAGUAUAUUUGCAAAUCUGAAUUUCUAUUUAUUCCUUCAUUGAAUAUAGAAGCAAUGGUUAUCUGAUUAUUAGAGAUAUUAUUUUGGAUAUGUCACUUAUUAACUCGCUAUGGCUGGUACCCAUGAUAAAGUCUGUUAUUAGUAACAACAGAAUUCUUUUUUUAAAAAAAAAAAGAAAAAAAGAAAAGCUUAUUUUUCAUUGACUGUAUAGAUUUAUCUACUUAGUUGUGGUUUGCUAUGUUAGUGUUUUUAUUUUUAUUUUUUAAGUUGUGUUCUGAUGAUUUUUAAGAACCUCCCCCCCCCCACCUUGAUUUGAGUCCUGUGUUGACUACAGGUAUACAGCUCAAUUUAAAAAUCCUAAAGCAAAGAAAUUUUAUUUAUAAAAAAAAAUUUUAAAAAGAGUCGAGCAGUUGCAUGCCUGAGGCUGUGAAGUCAGGCCUUGAGCAGUGAGCUGCAGUGCCUUUUUUUGUAUUUACCCAUUGACCACCCCGCCCCAACACAGCUGUUUUAUAUUAAAUAGUAAAGGUUUGAAACUUUCCGAGUAAAGUCUAUUUCACUGCAUAGGUUCUCCCCAUCUCCACCCCACCCCACCCCCGCCCCCACCCGCACCCCAGGCGCCCUGAUUUAAGCAGCAUGUCUGCACUGUCUGAGACACAAUGCUGGUCUACAAUAUCAUGGGGUGAUGUUUUAUUGGUGCUUUUUUGUUCAUAGUGUUUUCUUACCAGAAAACAGUAGGAAGAAACACAAACUAUACAAGACACAACACGACGCUGCUGAUGGUUUGUUUUGUGUGUUCCCCACCCCCACCUGCUUUUUGAGUUUCACUUUCUUAUUACACAAAUCCAGCAAGCAAAGUAGUGGCCGGUGGGUCCCGCCUGCCUGCCUGCCUAGGGCUGCUAUUUGCAUCAAGCGCCCAGCCUGGGUUGAGCUGAAGGUCUCUUUCUGGUACCCAGGCCGGGAGCCAGCCGCAGCUGGGCCCCACCUCCCAUUCUCCCGAUGCGACACUGAGGGAAACCAGAGUUUCUUUUGAGGUGUCGCUGGCUGCCUUUUACAGAGUGGGAGUCUUCUCUGGGCCUUCCUUUCCUCUGUGCCUAGUAGCUAGCUAGCGCUGGUGCAAGGUUUGUAGAUCUGUGCACCCCAGAGCUGGGAUGAGGGCUGAGCGAGGGAGGGGAGGAAAGUGGAUUCUGUUGGGCGCCCUUCCUCUCUAGCCUGAGUGGGGAGAACCCAGGGUGCUCAGGUGUGCCUAUCAUAAACAGAACCUGCAGAAGGAUAAGUUGUACACAGAGCUGUGAUGAUAUCUGUGUUGGCUUUGUUUUUCAGUUUGUUUUUCUUUUCUUUUUUUACAACUCAUCAGAGAUGUUUGCAAAGCGACUUUUUUUUUAAUCCUUUAUCUUGACUUAAAGGUAAAUAUGUAUCCCUCUGGGAGGAGCAAAAAGAAAGCAGGAGUGUUAGUGAUGGCAAACAGGAGACUUCCUCCCUUAUUAAUAUAUAACCCUCAUGUAUUUAUGCCUAACGCAAGCUGACUUUCAAAGAGCUUCCUUUCGUUGCAUGCCCUGUGCAGGCAUCUGUAUUGUACAUGCAUGCCUUUUGUCCUGGUUUCCUGUAUAAAGUUAGUGAACAAAGAAAUAUUUUUGCCUAGUUCAUGUUGCCAAGCAAUGCAUAUUUUUUAAAUUUGUCAUACAUGGAAAGAGCAUGUUUGUUACAUGUGAAAGCUCUACUGAUGCAGAUACACUAAUGUUUGAACAUGCUGUUCUUUGCAAGUGUACAGUUUUCAAAUGUUGUUAUCAGUGACAACACCCUUGUGGUCUAAACUUGCUACAAUGUAUUUAUUAUUCAUUUCCUCCCACAGAAAUAAGAAUCAUGGCUAUAUUUCAUAUGGUUAUAUUGAGAGUGAAGGGAAAUGAUUAAUACAAGGUUUUGU
Molecule: long non-coding RNA, 3825 nt
Filed under: Mus musculus (house mouse)
Lineage: Eukaryota; Metazoa; Chordata; Mammalia; Rodentia; Muridae
Description: long non-coding RNA chr14:47101986-47105811
Source: RNAcentral